RNAcentral lists this long non-coding RNA (651 nucleotides) under Gallus gallus (chicken). RNAcentral's name for it is "long non-coding RNA NONGGAT008563". Lineage: Eukaryota; Metazoa; Chordata; Aves; Galliformes; Phasianidae. The record is from RNAcentral.
UCUCUGUCCUUCUCCAGCACUAGUCUUCAAUCUUUCCUGAAAAGUUAAACUUCUUUGCUUUUCUUUUUUCAGGGGUCAGAAGCACAUGUUCUCGUUGGUAUAACUUACUACAUCAGCAUUUUUCUUGAGUAAUUAUGGAAAGGAGCCACGGGUGUUGAAGAAGGCUUGAUUUCAGGCACAGACAGCUCAGGCUUGCUCCUGGCAGGAUGAAGCAGAUCCCAGAUGUGCUUUGGGGGCAUGUGGCUCGAGGUAGCUCCUGCUCUCCCACCAACAAGAGGCCCUGCUGACCCGAUCCUUUGUGACUGCCUGGACACAGUACUAUUACCCGCGCUGGGACUUUGCUUGCUCUCAAUAUACCCUCAGGAGUAUCUGCAGAUCUACAUAAAUGUGAGUACAGAACUGUGAGAGUAUUAUUAAUAGAACAGUUCACAGCUGAAUCUUAGAGUUAAGCCUUUCUGUUUCUGAACUGGCAUCCUGAUGUCUUAAAUUAGAAUACUGGUUUUGAAAGUUGUUUUCCAAGGUUUUUUUUAUGCCGGUAAGCCUUAGCAAGCUCUGGAGCACUGUUACCCAUAGUUCGUGGCAAUGCCAAAAGCAGCCUGAUAACAGAUGCUCAUCUGUUCUCUUCCAUGUAACUCCUAAUAAAUUUAAACC